This 466-nucleotide ribosomal RNA is filed under the name uncultured bacterium. Its description in RNAcentral is "partial 16S ribosomal RNA". It matches the Rfam family "Bacterial small subunit ribosomal RNA", at positions 31 to 507 of the family's 1533-position model. The record is from RNAcentral.
GAGGAACGAUGGAGGCGUGCUUAACACAUGCAAGUCGAACGAUGAAGCCCAGCUUGCUGGGUGGAUUAGUGGCGAACGGGUGAGUAACACGUGAGUAACCUGCCCUUAACUCUGGGAUAAGCCUGGGAAACUGGGUCUAAUACCGGAUAGGAGCGUCCACCGCAUGGUGGGUGUUGGAAAGAUUUAUCGGUUUUGGAUGGACUCGCGGCCUAUCAGCUUGUUGGUGAGGUAAUGGCUCACCAAGGCGACGACGGGUAGCCGGCCUGAGAGGGUGACCGGCCACACUGGGACUGAGGCACGGCCCAGACUCCUACGGGAGGCAGCAGUGGGGAAUAUUGCACAAUGGGCGCAAGCCUGAUGCAGCGACGCCGCGUGAGGGAUGACGGCCUUCGGGUUGUAAACCUCUUUCAGUAGGGAAGAAGCGAAAGUGACGGUACCUGCAGAAGAAGCACCGGCUAACUACGUG